This 492-nucleotide ribosomal RNA is filed under the name uncultured bacterium. RNAcentral describes it as "partial 16S ribosomal RNA". It matches the Rfam family "Bacterial small subunit ribosomal RNA", at positions 28 to 507 of the family's 1533-position model. The record is from RNAcentral.
GAUGAACGCUAGCUAUAGGCUUAACACAUGCAAGUCGAGGGGAAACGGCAUUAUGUGCUUGCACAUUUUGGACGUCGACCGGCGCACGGGUGAGCAUCGCGUAUCCAACCUGCCCUUUACUUGGGGAUACCCCGUUGAAAGACGGCCUAAUACCCGAUGUAAUUCAUUGAUGGCAUCAGAUAUGAAUAAAAGAUUUAUCGGUAAAGGAUGGGGAUGCGUCUGAUUAGCUUGUUGGUGAGGUAACGGCUCACCAAGGCGACGAUCAGUAGGGGUUCUGAGAGGAAGGUCCCCCACAUUGGAACUGAGACACGGUCCAAACUCCUACGGGAGGCAGCAGUGAGGAAUAUUGGUCAAUGGGCGCAAGCCUGAACCAGCCAAGUAGCGUGCAGGAAGACGGCCCUAUGGGUUGUAAACCGCUUUUAUACGAGAAUAAUUUGAUGCACGUGUGCGUUAUUGCAUGUAUCGUAUGAAUAAGGACCGGCUAAUUCCGUG